GGAAUGUGAGAAGCCUGAGAUCUAACUUCCCUGCUGUGAUCCCUGCCUUUCUACUAACAGGGAGCCCAGGCGCAGAGCUACUAAUGAGCAUGCUGGAGAGAGUGUCCGAACCAGUGCUGGCUAUAGACAAUCCACCUGUCUGCUCUCCGAUGCAGGAUUCCUUGGUCAGCUCUGGGUGUUAUGUCAAUGAGAUGCUGAGUGACUUACCUUGGCUGCUGUUAUUCAAUAUAACCUAUGAUGAUUCAACUCAUUUGGACACUUGGAUCACAAGAGAAAUUGGUGCUGUUGCCUCCUUUCCUUACUAUGAAAUGGGAAUGGUGCUCCAUCUCUGGUUUUCUGUGUGGACUCAUGACUUCUUCCUUUAUCUUUUUCGCUACUAAUAAAACAUGUUCUGCCAAGACAACUGGUGAGGCCAGGAUGCUGCUCAGAGAGCAGAUGAGGAUGCACUCACACAAUUGGUCAGUGUUCUUCUAAUUAUCACCUGUGAGAUUUGGACUCAUCCUAUAUAACUUUCAUGUUUGAGCAUCUAAUCUGGUGCUUGGACUUAGGUGGGAUGGAUUUGGGACUAAAAGUCCAUAUAUAAUUAGGGUAUCUAGAGUGUUCAGACCUUUAAAU
RNAcentral lists this long non-coding RNA (615 nucleotides) under Numida meleagris (helmeted guineafowl). RNAcentral's name for it is "lncRNA (ENSNMEG00000022820.1)". The record is from RNAcentral. Lineage: Eukaryota; Metazoa; Chordata; Aves; Galliformes; Numididae.